Long non-coding RNA from Astatotilapia calliptera (eastern happy), 1145 nucleotides. Lineage: Eukaryota; Metazoa; Chordata; Actinopteri; Cichliformes; Cichlidae. The record is from Ensembl.
AUUACAGUACAUUUUAACACUGUACUACUCCUGUCACCGUUUUGUUCCACAGUUUACCCACUUUAAAAGUUAUUGCUGUUACCUUGAACUAAAACCAGAAUCUUGCUGUAUUUGUUGAGUUUACAGUGUACCUGUGGUCACAGGGUGUCCUUUUCAAGCCAAUAUUAGACAAAACAGUCUUUACUUCAAGUAAAACGCAAAGCAGCACAAGUUUUCUCAGCUCUCUUUCCAAGUCUGUCUUGAGGCCUCACUCUGAUGCUGAGAGCUGAAACCUCAGCUUCAAAGCUCUGUCUGUCAGCUGAUUGGCUGACACAGCGAACAAACAAACUCCAAACUCACUGAAAGCCUAUUGCUGGUGCUGACAGAACAUUUUCAUCCCAUUUCUGUAUCCCUCCACUGGCACACACAGAUAUGUUGCUGUGAAGUAAAACACCCUGCUGUGUGUGCGUAUGUUGGACAGAAUGUUGGAUUCCUAUCAAGCUAUGUUGGAGGAUCUAAAACAGGCACUUCUUAUUAUCACUCACACUUUAUUUAAUACAUCUGCAAAGGCUCCAAUGCAAAACGAAAUGGUAUAUACAUAUAUAUAUAAAAAAAAAAAAACACCCAGCACGCCCCUGCGGGCGGUUUAUCCUUCAAGCUCGGGUCCUCUACCAGAGGCCUGGGAGCUUGAGGGUCCUGCGCAGUAUCUUAGCUGUUCCCAGGACUGCGCUCUUCUGGACAGAGAUCUCCGAUGUUAUUCCCGGGAUCUGCUGGAGCCACUCGCCUAGCUUGGGAGUCACCGCACCUAGUGCUCCGAUUACCACGGGGACCACCGUUACCUUCACCCUCCACAUCCUCUCGAGCUCUUCUCUGAGCCCUUGGUAUUUCUCCAGCUUCUCGUGUUCCUUCUUCCUGAUAUUGCUGUCAUUCGGAACCGCUACAUCGAUCACUACGGCCGUCUUCUUCUGUUUGUCUACCACCACUAUGUCCGGUUGGUUAGCCACCACCAUUUUGUCCGUCUGUAUCUGGAAGUCCCACAGGAUCUUAGCUCGGUCAUUCUCCACCACCCUUGGGGGCAUCUCCCAUUUUGACCUUGGGACUUCCAGGUUAUACUCGGCACAGAUGUUCCUGUACACUAUGCCGGCCACUUGGUUAUGGCGUUCCAU